UCAGUGUCACUUGGAUGCACUCCAAAUGCAAUGUGUGGGCUGAAGUUUAAUUUUAUUUGAACUUAAACUUGAGCCAACACAUUGCAUUUGGGGUGAAUUCAAAUGAUACU
Molecule: microRNA precursor, 110 nt
Filed under: Podarcis lilfordi (Lilford's wall lizard)
Lineage: Eukaryota; Metazoa; Chordata; Lepidosauria; Squamata; Lacertidae
Source: RNAcentral